Molecule: long non-coding RNA, 1949 nt
Organism: Thamnophis elegans (Western terrestrial garter snake)
Lineage: Eukaryota; Metazoa; Chordata; Lepidosauria; Squamata; Natricidae
Exons: 2
Source: RefSeq, a predicted model, not a curated record
CCGCAUAGAGAGGGCUGAAAGCCCUAUGAAGCGGUAUAUAAGUCUAACUGCUAUUGCUAUUGCUAUAAUCAAUAGAACUUUAAUAUUGCUCGAUGUUGCAUCAAAUCCAGCUGUUUUUGUCAUAGGAAUUGUAGGGUGAAAACAUCACAUAUGCUCCUCUGUUGGACUAUAGCUUCUUCAUUCUAACUCACUGGUUCUGUUGCCUGAAGUUUAUGAAAGUAUGUUCGGUAUCUCUGGAGGCUUUAUAUGGCCCAUCCCUACUGUGGGGGAAAAGAGUGACCAGUAAAUUAUUGACAAAUCCAAGAAAUGCAGCUGUGUUAGUUUGUUGCAAGAAAUGACUGGUUGCACCCCAAAGAGAAGCUGUUUUAUUAUGACAAACAUUUCUGAACUGUCUAUGUUGCCAGGCUACAACUUAGUAGCUGUUUUUAAAGUUUCCAAAUUGUGUUGAUUUGGGAGUUGAACCUAAAAGAGGAAGCUGGAGAAUAAAAAUAAAUAUUCUCCUUCUUUUAGACCUCAAGAGGGUGUUGAAGAACAACAGAAUUGGAAAAGUUACUGUGUGAGAAUGUUUCAGAUAGAUUUCAUAAAGGGAGGGAUGUAGAUACUGAUAUAUCUAUCCCUCCCAAAUUUUUUGUGGUAGGAUAUCACGAGUUUAGAAUUCAUAAGGCUCAUAUGCAACUGAUUAAACAGCACUUAACAGUACGUAUGACUAGGCUAUUUGUGAAAUUCAAGGGAAAUUUUCGGUUCUUUACAUGUUGCAUGGAAUUUUCCUUUCUAGCUGAAUUGGCACUUGAAGCAGAAUCUGCUCUCUUACUGACCUUUGGAAUUGAAAGCUGUUGCAAACAUUUAACACGGCCCAUAUUGGAAAAAACAGAAUAAAUUUCAGCUAUUGUGGAAUAGUGGAUUACUUUGUUCUUGAGCUUGGGAUGAGUGGAGAGCAAAUCCUUUCUCAGCCCCAGAACUCACUGGGCAAUCUUCAAGCAGCAUUGUUUUAAGUCACAGAUUGUGCUAAAUCAUGAUUUGUUUAGCCACCGGUUUUUCAAUAAGCCGCAUUUGGCUGCAUUCUGGCAUACUUUAACAGAAAAAGAUAUCUAUGAUGCUCUUUAUUAUAGAAAACUACACAACACAAAGAGUAUUGGGUCUUUGAGAGAUUUUUCAUUACCUAAAUAAAACUUUUCCAAUGAUGUUGGCUGUAGGAAACUGGCAGGAAGCGCUGGAAAUCACAUGUGAUUGCAGCAAUGUGGCAAUACUUGAAGCAGCCCCAAAUUUGCUGUGGGUCUCAAAUUUGGGACACAUUUCUGUAAGUUACCCCAUUUGAGGAAUGUUGAUUCAAAAAUUGUUGCCCAGUGAUACACCAUUGUGUCCAAUUGAAGAUUGCAAUCAAACAAGAAAUAGUAGUAGUAUAUAGAUUGCAAGAUACUAUAGUAACCUAAGCCCCGUGCCCACCAGGCUCCCUAUCCCAGUUAAUUUUUUUUUCUUUCCUUUUUACGUUAGGGAGGGAAUCUGGCACUAUUAGUGCCAGCCAACCUCUAUUUUCAAGAUCUCUUAUGGGCACCAUAGAGUUUUUUUAGAACAUGAAAAUGAUAAGUGGCUUGUAAGCAUUGCUUAGUUUGGAUGGGAGCCUAUCUGCCCAGGAAAAGAACAAAGAUGCCUCAGGAAAACCAUGCAAGAUGCUCAGCAAUUAUUUGGAAGAGAAUUCAAAAUUCUAAAAGUGUCCAGUGGUCAGAAAGUUUUGGGGUCCCCUCUUCAUCAAUCAUAUUGGCUAUGUUCAAACAAUUUGCUAAACUGAAAUUAAACUAACCUAUUGUGGCUUACUGCGGUGUGUGAAUCCCAUCACUGAACUCGUUAAUAUUCUUAUAAGAAGAAAAGAAUAAUAAUUGCAGUGUAAUAAAUUAUUUAAAUUAGGAGUUUAAGAUGUAAUAAACCCAUUGGGCAAAAUGGCAUUAACUACA